GAUGAACGCUGGCGGCGUGCUUAACACAUGCAAGUCGAACGAUGAUGCCCAGCUUGCUGGGUGGGUUAGUGGCGAACGGGUGAGUAACACGUGAGUAACCUGCCCUUGACUCUGGGAUAAGCCUGGGAAACUGGGUCUAAUACCGGAUACGACCAUCUGGCGCAUGUCAUGGUGGUGGAAAGCUUUUGUGGUUUUGGAUGGACUCGCGGCCUAUCAGCUGGUUGGUGGGGUAAUGGCCUACCAAGGCGACGACGGGUAGCCGGCCUGAGAGGGUGACCGGCCACACUGGGACUGAGACACGGCCCAGACUCCUACGGGAGGCAGCAGUGGGGAAUAUUGCACAAUGGGCGCAAGCCUGAUGCAGCGACGCCGCGUGAGGGAUGACGGCCUUCGGGUUGUAAACCUCUUUCAGUAGGGAAGAAGCGAAAGUGACGGUACCUGCAGAAGAAGCGCCGGCUAACUACGUG
RNAcentral lists this ribosomal RNA (467 nucleotides) under uncultured bacterium. RNAcentral describes it as "partial 16S ribosomal RNA". It matches the Rfam family "Bacterial small subunit ribosomal RNA", at positions 28 to 507 of the family's 1533-position model. The record is from RNAcentral.